GACGAACGCUGGCGGCGUGCCUAAUACAUGCAAGUUGAGCGAUGAAGCUUGGUGCUUGCCCCAAUUUGAAGAGCAGCGAACGGGUGAGUAACGCGUGGGGAAUCUGCCUUUGAGCGGGGGACAACAUUUGGAAACGAAUGCUAAUACCGCAUAACAACUUUAAACAUAAGUUUUAAGUUUGAAAGAUGCAAUUGCAUCACUCAAAGAUGAUCCCGCGUUGUAUUAGCUAGUUGGUGAGGUAAAGGCUCACCAAGGCGAUGAUACAUAGCCGACCUGAGAGGGUGAUCGGCCACAUUGGGACUGAGACACGGCCCAAACUCCUACGGGAGGCAGCAGUAGGGAAUCUUCGGCAAUGGACGAAAGUCUGACCGAGCAACGCCGCGGGAGUGAAGAAGGUUGUCGGAUCGUAAAACUCUGUUGGUAGGGAAGAACGUUGGUGAGAGUGGAAAGCUCAUCAAGUGACGGUAACUACCCAGAAAGGGACGGCUAACUACGUG
Molecule: ribosomal RNA, 497 nt
Filed under: uncultured bacterium
Lineage: Bacteria
Description: partial 16S ribosomal RNA
Rfam family: Bacterial small subunit ribosomal RNA
Source: RNAcentral